UACGUGGGGUGCAAGCGUUGUCCGGAAUUAUUGGGCGUAAAGAGCUCGUAGGCGGUCUGUCGCGUCUGCUGUGAAAACUCAGGGCUUAACCCUGAGCUUGCAGUGGGUACGGGCAGACUAGAGUGCGGUAGGGGAGACUGGAAUUCCUGGUGUAGCGGUGAAAUGCGCAGAUAUCAGGAGGAACACCGGUGGCGAAGGCGGGUCUCUGGGCCGUAACUGACGCUGAGGAGCGAAAGCAUGGGGAGCGAACAGG
Molecule: ribosomal RNA, 253 nt
Filed under: uncultured bacterium
Lineage: Bacteria
Description: partial 16S ribosomal RNA
Rfam family: Bacterial small subunit ribosomal RNA
Source: RNAcentral